This 72-nucleotide transfer RNA is filed under the name Ulva prolifera. Its description in RNAcentral is "tRNA-Cys". It matches the Rfam family "tRNA". Rfam says of the family: Transfer RNA (tRNA) molecules are approximately 80 nucleotides in length. Lineage: Eukaryota; Viridiplantae; Chlorophyta; Ulvophyceae; Ulvales; Ulvaceae. RNAcentral also lists the same sequence under 5 other names. The record is from RNAcentral.
GGUGGUAUAGCCAAGUGGUAAGGCAAGGGAUUGCAAAUCCUUUAUUCCCCAGUUCGAAUCUGGGUACCACCU